Molecule: long non-coding RNA, 728 nt
Organism: Gasterosteus aculeatus aculeatus (three-spined stickleback)
Lineage: Eukaryota; Metazoa; Chordata; Actinopteri; Perciformes; Gasterosteidae
Source: Ensembl
AACUCAUAGGAAAUAUGAUAGAUGCAUUUAUUUACCGAAGCGUAAAGUUCGGAUACAUUUCGGUUUACCGUUAAUUAACGUUAGCCAAACUUAAGCUAGCCUUUACAUUUUUAAAAGAAAGUUGUCCUUGAAGCGUCUUGUCUUUCAAAUUCAAGCUACCAAUUCCCCGGGCCUUGAUGUGAACUCCGGUCCUGCUUCCAGGACGGAAUCAUUUUCUAUGAUUGGAGACACUCGAAUGAAAGAAUAUUGUGUUUCUGUCUUUGGCCUGUCUGACAGGGAGAAUUUUACAGAGCACUCCGUGAUCGAUAUUUGCCGAUCCGUCUGCCCGUAUCAACCUCAAAUAAAAGCAGAGAGCAGGAGACAAGGCAGCACAAGCAGGUCGUCGGGAGGUCUGCUGCACCACCCUCCCCCGUUUGAAGUCUGCGAAAGCACUCAUCAGUGUGUAGAACCGGCCUCGACUUGGCACGCCGGGUCACCGCCGCCUCACCCUGAGCAGCGCACGGUUGAUUGUCUCGCUGUCGGGGCGUGCAGGGUUGUUGUUUUCAGAGGUGAGAGGACAGGUCUUUUCCGGCAAGCUGGGCUAGGGUUUUUUAAUAGGGCCCCUCGCCGGCCUGCCCAGGCCGACACACCGAUCAUGAUGAUCGGGGGGGGGAACCCGUCGGAGACUCACUCCUCCUCCUCUUGCCAGACCUCAGCUCAUGUUACUGUAUUUUUAUUCAUCGCGUGUG